RNAcentral lists this ribosomal RNA (414 nucleotides) under uncultured microorganism. RNAcentral describes it as "bacterial SSU rRNA". It matches the Rfam family "Archaeal small subunit ribosomal RNA", at positions 459 to 872 of the family's 1478-position model. The record is from RNAcentral.
CAGCAGCCGCGGUAAUACCGGCGGCCCGAGUGGCGGUCACUAUUAUUGGGCUUAAAGCGUCCGUAGCCGGGUUGGGAAGUCCUCCGGGGAAUCUGGCCGCUUAACGGUCAGAAUGCCGGAGGAUACUCCCAGCCUAGGGAGCGGGAGAGGCCGAGGGGAUUCCCGGAGUAGGGGUGAAAUCCUAUAAUCCCGGGAGGACCACCUGUGGCGAAGGCGCUCGGCUGGAACGCGUCCGACGGUGAGGGACGAAGGCCAGGGGAGCAAACCGGAUUAGAUACCCGGGUAGUCCUGGCUGUAAACGAUGCGGACUUUGUGUCGGACAAGCUAUGAGCUUGUCCGGUGCCGGAGGGAAACCGUUAAGUCCGCCGCCUGGGGAGUACGGCCGCAAGGCUGAAACUUAAAGGAAUUGGCGGG